CAGGCGUCAUGUUGGGGAAGGUGAGAACCUUCUACGAAGUUCGAGUCGAGCAGCGCUAGACAACUCGCGUAGCACGGCCCGAAAGGUGAGGAGCUGAGCGACGAAUAAUCCUUCUCCCACUAUCA
This 125-nucleotide small RNA is filed under the name Dickeya dadantii. RNAcentral describes it as "RtT sRNA". It matches the Rfam family "RtT RNA". From Rfam's summary of the family: This family represents a bacterial cis-regulatory element known as RtT RNA. The exact function of RtT is unknown although it is thought that it may be involved in changing the cellular response in relation to amino acid starvation. The record is from RNAcentral. RNAcentral also lists the same sequence under 1 other name. Lineage: Bacteria; Pseudomonadati; Pseudomonadota; Gammaproteobacteria; Enterobacterales; Pectobacteriaceae.